GCCAGUGUGGCAUAGUGGUUUGAGUGCUAGACUACAACUCUGGAGACCAGGGUUCAGUUCCCAGCUUGACC
RNAcentral lists this transfer RNA (71 nucleotides) under Phrynosoma platyrhinos (Desert horned lizard). RNAcentral describes it as "tRNA-OTHER". Lineage: Eukaryota; Metazoa; Chordata; Lepidosauria; Squamata; Phrynosomatidae. The record is from RNAcentral.